UUUAUUUUAAUUGCAUUUUCCUUGAAUUUUUUGUAUUUUUUUAUUUUAAAGAAUAGUGUAUUGUUAAGAUCUAGCAAAUUACCCAUUUACACUAAAAAUCAACAUGUUUAAGGAUUCAUUUUGAACUAAAAUAGAGAAAUCAAAUGAGUAGCACUAAACCAGCUUCCAUAAAACAGCAUUUAAAGAUUGUUUAAGCAAAGAAAGCGGUAUUCACAUCUUGGAAACAUUGCCUCCUACCCCACUGCACUGUUCCCACCCACCAUGUUGGGGCUGGUACUGUGUAGUCUCACUGGGCCACAGUGGGUGGGGUUUCCUGUUAAGAUGCAUGACAGAGCUCAGAUGUGACUGGUGUUCUAUUCGUCUUAUGGAACAUUUAACUGAAAGAACAAAGUCUGUCUGCACCCAACACUUACCACCUGCCCUAACAAUCAGGCAGAGAGCCAUGAGGAGAAGACUGGGGGCUCUGCUGGGUCUUCUGUGGGUCCAGAUUUUCAGAGUGAGGGGGAUGCAGGUUCAACAGAGUCCUUCAACCUUGACAGCCCAGGAGGGAGUCAGCUCUUCCUUGACCUGCAAUUUCUCCAACACAGCGAACAGUGUGCAGUGGUUCCGACAGAAUCCUGGGAGCAGCCUCGUCAAUCUGUUCUUCAUAGCUACAGGGACAAAGCAGAACGGAAGGUUGAAGGCAACAGUUAACUCUCAGGAGCGCUACAGCACCCUCCACAUCACGAGCUCCCAACUGGAAGACUCAGGCACCUACCUCUGUGCAGCAGACACACAGUGCUCCCAGGGCGUCUGCUGCCUGGACCCAAACUGCAGCUGGGCCUGCAGCUGUAACCCCGCCCAUCUCCCAGGGAGGCACGUGGCUUCUGCAUAGCAUUUGCACUGCUUUGUGCUUUCUGCUUGAUGUUGGAGCACUUUUAUCUCUGCUAAAAUUAGACAUUUCUGCGUUGUCAUUUAACUCGGUUUUCAUACCUUUUUCAUCCCAGAAAUUAUUGUGCAGGAAAGAAAGCUCUACUCUGGAACCACUGGAGCAACUAAUAAAAUUGUCAGAACCCAAAUGUAUUGUCACAACAAAUGCCCUGGCACAGUGCAGAUACAUUACCUAUAAAUUACUGUGAUAA
This is a non-coding RNA of Oryctolagus cuniculus (rabbit), 1121 nucleotides long. The record is from RefSeq and is a predicted model, not a curated record. NCBI's taxonomy places the organism in Eukaryota, Metazoa, Chordata, Mammalia, Lagomorpha, Leporidae.